UAGUGGUUAUAAUAUUUUAUAUGCUAAAGUUUUUGCUUCUUUUAUGGGUUGUUAUGUUAAUAUAAUACAUUGGAAUGAGGAGUUGUGUUGAGACAAUUUUGCUUCUUUUGGUUUUAAUUUCUAUUUAUCUCUUACUUCUAUUUAGCAGCAGAGAAAGAAGAAGAACAACUCGAGCAUGGCACAAACGCUAGCGAUGCCCGUAGCUCCCUCUCUCGCCCUAAUCUCAAACCCUAGACCUCUUUCCAGAGCCGUCUAUUUCCCUGUUCUCAACCCUCCCAAGGUGAGAGGGUUAAGCAUAGAGUGCGCUCGAGUUGGCGGAGUGGAGAUUCCGAACAACAAGAGAAUUGAGUUCUCGCUACAGUACAUCCAUGGAAUCGGAAGGAGCAGAGCUCGCAAGAUUCUCUACGAUAUAAGCAUGGACAACAAGAUCACUAAGGAUCUCAGCGAAGAGGAUCUCAUCACUCUUAGAGAUGAAGUCCCCAAAUAUGUCAUUGAAGGCGAUUUGCAGCAGAGAAAGAAGAAGAACAACUCGAGCAUGGCACAAACGCUAGCGAUGCCUAUAGCUCCCUCUCUCGCCCUAAUCUCAAACCCUAGACCUCUUUCCAGAGCCGUCUAUUUCCCUAUUCUCAACCCUCCCAAGGUGAGAGAGUUAAGCAUAGAGUGCGCUCGAGUUGGCGGAGUGGAGAUUCCGAACAACAAGAGAAUUGAGUUCUCGCUACAGUACAUCCAUGGAAUUGGAAGGAGCAGAGCUCGUAAGAUUAUCUGCGAUAUAAGCAUGGACAACAAGGUCACUAAGGAUCUCAGCGAAGAGGAUCUCAUCACUCUUAGAGAUGAAGUCUCCAAAUACGUCAUUGAAGGCGAUUUGGUUAGAGUAUUUUUAUAGAAUACGGAUUGAAUCAAAAUGAAGAAGCAAGAACAGAGUUGAGAGCAGUAGAUGCAUGGAUACUAACUGACAAGCCUUACUCUCAUCAAUCCAUUCAUUUGCUACCUGUGCGAUUGGGAUUCAUGGAAAAGGAUCCUGGGAACAAAUUUUUUUUGGUCUGAUUUGUCAGAUUCAUUUAAAGAUCGGUGGUAGUUCUCAAGAGGAAAUCAGCCUAGGGUUCAUGUCACUCUGCCUCUCUCUUAUCUUGAGAAACAACAAGUUAGGUGGGAAUUUUUACGGCGGCCCUAUCCUUUCUCUGUCCCCUUCCAUCAUGUGGCGUGUUUCACUGUUCAGUCCGAAUUUCCUGUGAUGUAGAUGAAACAAAUGAACUAUGCUUAGUGUCAAUUGAUUCAAAAAAGCUCCUCUCUAAUCUCACCCCCUGGAAGGAAUGUUGGAAGAUAACACUCAGAAUCAUCAGAAUGAGGAGUUUAAUUGAUCAUAGGGAGGAGAAUGAAGAACAUGCUUUUCUUCGGCUUCUGAUAAUGGAUAAAGAAUGAUGGGCGUAAUGGAUGAUGAUUUGCUUUUGAUGGUCCGCUCUGGUGUUUGCAGUGGCGGCGGUGGCACUACUAGAUUACCACAUGCUCCAAAUAUGGAGAUUUACUCUAUGUAUGGGGUCAGGAUUCUAAUGUAAAGAGGCUAUGUUUAUAAGUCAACCUCCCAAUCGGAAUGCUACAUUCCGUUUUAGAUUGACACAUCAGCAAUUGGUGGAGAUGAGGACCUUUUUUUAAAGGAUGGAGUUUAUAGUGCUAACGGGGAUGAAACCGAUCCUCUUUUAAGCGCUGGUUUCAUUUGUGCAAGAGGUUGGUGGGAAAAAAAUCCGCUUUAAUCCUUCAGGCAUCUAAACGUUCAUAAGGGAGUAUGAAGACGCUGCUCCGGCUAAUCUUCUCGAAGGAAGGGGAACCCAGAGUGGUGCUCAUGUUGAUAUAUUAGGGAACUUUGCACUUAUUGAAGAUAUUAUACGAGUAACAGCAGGAGCCUCUGGUGAGGACUUAGGUGGACAUAGAGUUCACUUAGAUUUUCAUAUGGUCUCAAUGUUAACUCUCAGUGCAAUAAAUGUUCCGGCUGGCAGCUGUUCCUUUGUUAAAUUAUUUUUUACUUUUUGGAUUAUAAAUACUCAUUGUUACCUUAGUUUAACAUGAAUAUUACCCAUGAGGUUAUAAAGAACUGUUGUUAGGAAUUAAAUGAAAAUGUGCACUAAUAUUUGAUCA
This is a non-coding RNA of Arachis ipaensis, 2130 nucleotides long. The record is from RefSeq and is a predicted model, not a curated record. NCBI's taxonomy places the organism in Eukaryota, Viridiplantae, Streptophyta, Magnoliopsida, Fabales, Fabaceae.